This 194-nucleotide ribosomal RNA is filed under the name uncultured bacterium. RNAcentral's name for it is "partial 16S ribosomal RNA". It matches the Rfam family "Bacterial small subunit ribosomal RNA", at positions 338 to 524 of the family's 1533-position model. The record is from RNAcentral.
CCUACGGGAGGCAGCAGUAGGGAAUCUUCCACAACGGACGAAAGUCUGAUGGAGCAACGCCGCGUGGGUGAAGAAGGGUUUCGGCUCGUAAAACUCUGUUGUUAAAGAAGAACAUAUCUGAGAGUAACUGUUCAGGUAUUGACGGUAUUUAACCAGAAAGCCACGGCUAACUACGUGCCAGCAGCCGCGGUAAU